GCAUUAGUAGCUUAAUUUUAUAGCGAUAGUUUUGUAAACUGUAGUGUGGGGGUUAGAAUCCCUCUUAAUGCU
Molecule: transfer RNA, 72 nt
Filed under: Tetrabrachium ocellatum (four-armed frogfish)
Lineage: Eukaryota; Metazoa; Chordata; Actinopteri; Lophiiformes; Tetrabrachiidae
Description: tRNA-Thr
Rfam family: tRNA
About the family: Transfer RNA (tRNA) molecules are approximately 80 nucleotides in length.
Source: RNAcentral